UGAGGAAUAUUGGACAAUGGGAGCAAUCCUGAUCCAGCAAUGCCGCGUGUGGGAUGACGGGGCUUUGCCUUGUAAACCACUGUCGGACGGGACGAGAAGAGGUAAGAACCUCUGGGACGGUACCGUCAAAGGAAGGAUCGGCUAACUACGUGCCAGCAGCCGCGGUAAUACGUAGGAUCCAAGCGUUGUCCGGAUUUACUGGGUAUAAAGGGUGCGUAGGCGGCUUUUUGCGUCAGAGGUGAAAUCCACGGGCUUAACCCGUGGGGUGCCUUUGAAACGGGAAGGCUUGAGUAUGACAGAGGCGGAUGGAAUUCCUGGUGUAGCAGUGAAAUGCGUAGAUAUCAGGAGGAACACCGGUGGCGAAGGCGGUCCGCUGGGUCAUAACUGACGCUGAGGCACGAAAGCGUGGGGAUCAAACA
This 419-nucleotide ribosomal RNA is filed under the name uncultured bacterium. Its description in RNAcentral is "bacterial SSU rRNA". It matches the Rfam family "Bacterial small subunit ribosomal RNA", at positions 355 to 774 of the family's 1533-position model. The record is from RNAcentral.